Molecule: ribosomal RNA, 459 nt
Filed under: uncultured bacterium
Lineage: Bacteria
Description: bacterial SSU rRNA
Rfam family: Bacterial small subunit ribosomal RNA
Source: RNAcentral
ACGCUGGCGGCGUGCUUAACACAUGCAAGUCGAACGGUAAGGCCCUUCGGGGUACACGAGUGGCGAACGGGUGAGUAACACGUGGGUGAUCUGCCCUGCACGUUCGGGAUAAGCCGUGGGAAACUGGGUCUAAUACCGGAUAGGACUCCUGGCUUCAUGGUUGGGGGUGUAAAGCUUUUGCGGUGUGGGAUGGGCCCGCGGCCUAUCAGCUUGUUGGUGGGGUAAUGGCCUACCAAGGCGACGACGGGUAGCCGGCCUGAGAGGGUGACCGGCCACACUGGGACUGAGAUACGGCCCAGACUCCUACGGGAGGCAGCAGUGGGGAAUAUUGCACAAUGGGCGCAAGCCUGAUGCAGCGACGCCGCGUGAGGGAUGACGGCCUUCGGGUUGUAAACCUCUUUCAAUAGGGACGAAGCGCAAGUGACGGUACCUAUAGAAGAAGGACCGGCCAACUACGUG